UACAGGGGGACAACAUCGGGAAACCGGUGCUAAUACCGCAUAACACAUCGAAAUGGAAUCAUAGAGAUGUCAAAGGAGGAAUCCGGUAUAAGAUGGGCCCGCGUCCAAUUAGCUAGUUGGUGAGGUAACGGCUCACCAAGGCGACGAUUGGUAGCCGAACUGAGAGGUUGAUCGGCCACAUUGGGACUGAGACACGGCCCAGACUCCUACGGGAGGCAGCAGUGGGGAAUAUUGCACAAUGGGGGAAACCCUGAUGCAGCAACGCCGCGUGAAGGAUGAAGGUCUUCGGAUUGUAAACUUCUUUGAUUGGGGAAGAAGAAGUGACGGUACCCAAAAAACAAGCCACGGCUAACUACGUGCCAGCAGCCGCGGUAAUACGUAGGUGGCAAGCGUUGUCCGGAAUUACUGGGUGUAAAGGGCGUGUAGGCGGGGAUGCAAGUCAGGUGUGAAAGCCCAUGGCUCAACUGUGGGACUGCAUCUGAAACUGUAUCUCUUGAGUACUGGAGAGGGAAGUGGAAUUCCUAGUGUAGCGGUGAAAUGCGUAGAGAUUAGGAGGAACACCAGUGGCGAAAGGCGGCUUCCUGGACAGUAACUGACGCUGAGGCGCGAAAGCGUGGGGAGCGAACAGGAUUAGAUACCCUGGUAGUCCACGCCGUAAACGAUGGAUACUAGGUGUAGGAGGUAUCGACCCCUUCUGUGCCGGAGUUAACACAUUAAGUAUCCCACCUGGGGAAUACGACCGCAAGGUUGAAACUCAAAGGAAUUGACGGGGGCCCGCACAAGCAGUGGAGUAUGUGGUUUAAUUCGAAGCAACGCGAAGAACCUUACCAGGGCUUGACAUCCCUUGACAGCUCUAGAGAUAGAGUUUCCCUUCGGGGCAAGGAGACAGGUGGUGCAUGGUUGUCGUCAGCUCGUGUCGUGAGAUGUUGGGUUAAGUCCCGUAACGAGCGCAACCCUUAUUGUUAGUUGCCAGCAAGUAAAGUUGGGCACUCUAACGAGACUGCCGGUGAUAAAUCGCAGGAAGGUGGGGAUGACGUCAAAUCAUCAUGCCCCUUAUGUCCUGGGCUACACACGUACUACAAUGGCUGGUACAGAGGGGAGCUAAGCCGCGAGGUGGAGCCAAUCCCCAAAACCAGUCCCAGUUCGGAUUGCAGGCUGCAAUUCGCCUGCAUGAAGUGGGAAUUGCUAGUAAUGGCAGGUCAGCAUACUCCCGUGAAUACGUUCCCGGGCCUUGUACACACCGCCCGUCACACCAUGAGAGUUUGCACACCCGAAGUCA
RNAcentral lists this ribosomal RNA (1279 nucleotides) under uncultured organism. RNAcentral describes it as "bacterial SSU rRNA". It matches the Rfam family "Bacterial small subunit ribosomal RNA", at positions 134 to 1429 of the family's 1533-position model. The record is from RNAcentral.